Molecule: non-coding RNA, 683 nt
Organism: Coffea arabica (coffee)
Lineage: Eukaryota; Viridiplantae; Streptophyta; Magnoliopsida; Gentianales; Rubiaceae
Source: RefSeq, a predicted model, not a curated record
CCCAUUUCACAUCCAAAACCACGGCACCACAAUACUUCCUCAUCAUCUCAUAUUACAAACCGCGGCACCUUAUCUGCCAUUCAUCUCCAUUUCCUCUCCAUUGUUACCUCAGCCCAAACCACAACAACAUUUCCUCACCUUGUAAUCAUCGACCAAGAGAGAGAGAGAGAGAGAGAGAGCUGCACUCUGCAAGCCGAGAGUGAGAGUGAGGGAGAGCCGAGCUUCUUGUUUCUUUUCUUUCCGUCCGUAAGCUAGAGGGGGAAGAGAGGGACUUGCGAUUCAUUCUGUCUUCUAACCGUGAGCUGGUGAAGGGACUAAGGGCUGAACUUUCUCCAUUCCAGCCGCCACCCAGAGCAAGGGAGAGAGAGAGCUAGUGGUCUGCAUUUUCUGGGCUGCCGAAGGGAGGAGGAUUAUUUCUGCUGCUAACCGUGUGUAUGAGCUCCAUUUGAGGAUUUGAGACCAAAGGUGCUCGGAAGUAGUACUAGAUUGUUUACUUUCAUGAAUGUAAUUCGAGUUAAACAUUGUAGUUUUGCCUUAGGUUGCCACUUGAAGCUGGAAAAGUGUAAACCCUGGAUUUGUAUGUGGCUUGUAUGAAUUUGUUACUUGGCUUGUAAGGAUGUAUUUGAAUUGAUGUUUUGUUUCUUGGGUUGUAUUCGGGAAGGUAUUUUAAGAAUCGACGUUGG